This 537-nucleotide ribosomal RNA is filed under the name uncultured bacterium. RNAcentral describes it as "bacterial SSU rRNA". It matches the Rfam family "Bacterial small subunit ribosomal RNA", at positions 102 to 674 of the family's 1533-position model. The record is from RNAcentral.
ACGGGAGAGUAACACGUGGGAACGCGCCCUUCGGUUCGGAAUAACUCAGGGAAACUUGGGCUAAUACCGAAUACGCCCUUACGGGGAAAGAUUUAUUGCCGAAGGAACGGCCCGCGUCCGAUUAGCUUGUUGGUGAGGUAACGGCUCACCAAGGCGACGAUCGGUAGCUGGUCUGAGAGGAUGACCAGCCUCACUGGGACUGAGACACGGCCCAGACUCCUACGGGAGGCAGCAGUGGGGAAUAUUGGACAAUGGGCGCAAGCCUGAUCCAGCCAUGCCGCGUGGGUGAUGAAGGCCCUAGGGUUGUAAAGCCCUUUCGGCGGGGAAGAUAAUGACGGUACCCGCAGAAGAAGCCCCGGCUAACUUCGUGCCAGCAGCCGCGGUAAUACGAAGGGGGCUAGCGUUGCUCGGAAUUACUGGGCGUAAAGCGCGCGUAGGCGGCUUCUUAAGUCGGAGGUGAAAUCCUGGAGCUCAACUCCAGAACUGCCUUCGAUACUGGGAGGCUCGAGUCCGGGAGAGGUGAGUGGAACUGCGAGU